CGCCGGGCUUUCUCCGGCCGCCGCCGCCACUGCCGCUGCUUCGCGGGCUGGAGGGCCCAGGCGUCCCUGGGCGAGCGGAGGCUGCGGUUGCCUGAAGCGAGUGGGCCGGGCUCCGGAGCCUCCAGGCAGGAUCUCGGGGCCUCCCGAGGUUGCAGCGGAUGGUGGAGGGCGGCGCAGACAUGGCUCACCUCAGGGGCUUUGCCAACCAGGUAAGGGUUGGCAUCCGGGGAGAGGGGUGUGUGUGUUUACCGGAGCACCGACUGCAGAGGCUAAGCAAGGGCGCUUCCUCCAGGACUGUCAUCCUGAGGUUUCAGAGGAGCGGUCCCUCCGAGGGCGAGCGUGGGGUGAAGGGAGGCGCGGGGGAGUCCUGCGGAGCGCGUCGUGGGCGAAGCGGGGAGCAGUCUCGAGGCGCUCAGACUUGGUGAGCGCAGGGGCGACUCAGCUUGGCCAGCUUGCCCAGUUGUGUGGGGCAGAAGCCCACAAGCUUGGCAAAAUAGAGCCCCAGUGCAGGGGCAGCAGAGGCUGUGCAGAGCCCUGUGGUGGGAACAGGGCAGGGGCCGCUGGCUCUGGUGGGAAUCCUGCCGAGCAUGAAUCUGCACCUGGAGAGACCUGCAAGGUCAGGGUCCACGCUGGGGCCGCAGCCUGGGCGGGGACACAGGCCGUGUUGUGCUGGGCAGGGGCUGUGCUGACGCAGCUCUCGAGUCUGUGCGCGGGGAGAGCAGAGCACAGGAGAGGAUGAGAGGGCUGCUCCCGGGCCACAGGUGCUCCUUGGGAAGACACCCACUGCCUUUCUCUUUGGGGGACUGGGUCUUGGGAUUGCCAACAGCAAAAGCCAUCUGGGGGUGUCUGGCCUUGAGCGGUAACUGGCUGAUUCCGGGGGACCCUCCAAAGCGCACCCUGGGUUGUGUGGCACAUGGUUUGUACUUUCCUCUUGUCUGUUAUUGGGAAGCAGGUGUGAUCUGCAGCUGGUAGGACGUGGAGUGUGCCGCUCUGGCUCUGGUAGCCAGGUUUUCCUGUGGCCACUGCUUGGCUUUGUUUUCCUCGGCCGCCUGCUGAAAGGUGUAAGGCAGCGUCCUCGGGUGUAAGGCUGAGUCCCCAGGCUGAGUCCGCGAGGCCUGGGCGCCAGGGGAGCAGGAAGUGUGUAUCCACGGGGCGGGGGAGGGGCUGGGGUCAGGAUCGGCUCCACACCCAACAGGCUUCCUCGCAGAAACCUGCCACGUGCUGCCGCCGGGCAGGGCAUCCUGGACUAGCCGUGCCACAGGUGGGCACUGGCACUUCUGCUGAUGCUGAAGCCCGCUGGCAGGUCUUUCAUUCAUCUUUGACAUCUCGUGUCUUGUAAAUUACAUGACGGAGAAGCUGGGAGAAAAACCUGGCUUCAGCUAUUUUUAAGAGCUGUAGAAAUGGGUCCCGCGGGUCCUGGAAUAGGAAGUUGGAGCUGAGCCACCCUGUCCCUGUGUGCUGGUGGCACUAGGGGCUUGGCUUGGGUGUCCAGACCAGAUGCCCAGGGAAGGGAGCACAGCCCAGAGGAGCUGAGGAAGGGACCCUGAAGGAAGGAAGCCCCUUUUGUCCUCUGGGGCGGAGAGACUUGGCCUUUGUCAGUGGCAGGAAGCCUGACAGGACAUUGUUUUCUCUUGCGAGGGUUGUCACUGUGGCCCUGCGAGGCGGUCCCUGUGUGGGGCAGUGCGGUGAGCUCCCCCACGGCCCGCAGGGGGCCCUCCACUCCUGGCCUCUGCCCGGCUGGUUCCUUGUUCCUACCCUGCCCGCAGGGUCUGGCUGGCUGCAGGAAGCUCAUUGGCUGCCACCCAUCGUGGGGUGGUUGGGGGCCGUUGGGCACCCCUCAUUUUGUGGGGCGAUAUGACCAGCAGACAUACUGCCUGGUAGUGGCCACUGACCUCGCAUGCCCAGGGCUGACCAGAGGACAAGGGUCUGGACUGCCAGCAGCCUGAGCCCUUGUCUGAACCACGCCCGUCUCUGGAAGGGGAGUGCAAGGCCAGCUCGGGAGCAGUUGUCCUUCCUUCCUUCCACCAGCUCUGGCCGCAGGUGUCCCUGUGAUGUGCCUGUAGGGUCAGGGUCACAGCCAGGAGCGCUCCCGUCAUGCUGUCUGCUCAGGAGACUGACCCACAGCAGUGGGGACCCAAAAAGUGUGACGUUGGGACCAGAGCUCCCCCCACUGCUGAGUCUGGAGCCCCUGGUCCAGGGGUCUGCCCAGUUCCCUCAGGAGCCGUGGAGGUCUGGGCACCCAGCUGGGUGUGCCUCUCGUCAAGCCGUUGGGGUGGAGAGUGCAGGCUGCAGUGAGAAGAGGGAGGCCUGAGGGUGGGAGGGGAACCCGGAAAGCCCGAGGAACAGUGCUGCCCGGCCUCGGUCCCACCUCCUCCAGGUCCCCUCUGAGGCCCCCUUGGAAGUAGAGGCACCGUUUCUAGGAGCCCUGGCUGGAUGAGCUGGGGGUGGAGGCCCUGCAGGCCAGCACUUAGCUGGGUGCUCAGGGGCCUAGUGAAGGGGACGUGGGGGCACUGGGCCAGGUGGCAUUUGGGCCCAGUGCCCAGGGGUUUGGGGGGGUGCAAGCGGGCGGGGGCUGUUUCCUGGUCUCUGUGGGAGGCCGUCUUCAUGCUGGUGAGUCUUCAUGCUGGUGACAGGCUCGCAGAGUCCUUGAGGCUGGCCACUCAGGGCGGGGCUCUGAUCUCGAGGUCCCCACCCCAAAGACAGCUGAGCAGCUGGGACUUUCAGAAUAUGCGUAGCAGGGGGAGAAAGUGUCCUCACGGGUGGCCUGAGGAACCCAGGUGGCAGCCACCUGGCCCUGUGCUGCACUGGCUGCAGCUUCCGCGGGGGAGGUGCGAGUGGGCACCUUGGCUCUGGCCACCUCAUGGAGGCCGGCCCACCAUGCCGGGGCCUGGCCCUCGGCCCUCCCUGCUCGCCUGGCCCCGCUGGCUCCCCCUACGAGGCCCUCUUUGGGCUCACGUGGCCCCUCUGUUUCCAGACCUGGGGAGGCAGCUGUUGGCACGUGGGAUGUGUGCCGCCUCUGUCCGGAGCCCGCCUGGGGCUGAGCCCAAGGGCUGGCCGUGCCGAGGUCAGUGCGCUGCCCAGGGCUGGGCCCCCUUGGCUCCAGAGCGGUCGGUGCUUCCACAGCAAAGCCAGUUGUGAUUUGGCCUUUUUGCUUCUGGCCACUUCAGGUGGUCGCCAAGACACGUCCGGUGACACUGCUGAGGCGUGGGGGCAGCCUCUCUGGAGGGAGGUGUGUCCUGUUGGGUGUGAGGCCUGCAGGGCUUAGAGAGCCCUUUCUGCCCCCAUCGGGACUGGACGCCAGGCUCCCCGCCCACCCUUCACAGGCCCUGCCUGGGGCUCCAACCCCAUGCAGGUCCCUGGGCUCCAGCCCCUGGGCCACUGCUGGGCCUCUGAGAACAUGGCCAGUAGCCUGGCGGAGGGGGUGAGGUGCCCUCAGGGGGCCACUUGGGUGGGGCUGGGGAACACCAAGGGUGGCCCUAGAGGCUCUGGUGUCUUCCACGCAGCCCCCGAGUUGCGCUGUCUCAGCCCCGACCCACUGAGGGUCAAGGUCAAAAGCGGGCUUGUCCCCUGUGGGACCGUCCUGCGUCUUGCCAGGCCCCCUGCACCCACGGCUCAGCCCUGAGGACCAGGGGCGCAGUUUUCCAUAAAGGCCAACACCUAGGAUCGCCCAUCAAGGAGUCAUUUCUUAGCUCAGGGUCCUGGUGUGCGGGGGUGGCCGUCCCCAGGACUGACUGGGGGCUUGGAGGGGCCUCUGAGGGGUGUGGCUUCCAGGUGCACAGGGAGGACUCAGUUGGUGUUGUUUAAUUGAUAGCCUUUAUUUUUCAGAGCCGUUGUAGGUUUAAAGGGAAAUGAGUGAGCUGGUUCCACCUGUCCAUCGCCCCUCCCCCGGGGGUUUGUUACAGUGGGUGACAAGCGUGGACGUGCUGUGACCAAGUCUGCAGCCUGCGAGGCUCGCCCUGGGUGGUGCCAGCACCGUCCAGGUCCCGGUGUUCCCCCGACUCCUCCCUCUGAACCCGUUCCUGGGGGGCACCGGGUCCUCCCCACGCGUGGGGUGUGGGCGGGUCCGGCGUGGCCUGCGUGGCCCCUCUGGCUGCCCCAUGGCCCGGACUCUUGGCCAGAGCCGGGCCCCCCCACACCCUCGGGGGGGGUUUUGCCUUUGGCUUCGGGUUUCUCAAUGGAAAGGGAUCAAAGAAGGAAGGCAGGAAGCCGCGUGAGCUCCCGGCGCUCGGGGUCAGCGCGGCCCGCCCCGUGUCCCCAGCACCCCCGCGUGGACCCCGAGGAGCUCUUCACCAAGCUCGACCGCAUCGGCAAGGGCUCGUUCGGCGAGGUGUACAAGGGCAUCGACAACCGCACCAAGGAGGUGGUGGCCAUCAAGACCAUCGACCUGGAGGAGGCCGAGGACGAGAUCGAGGACAUCCAGCAGGAGAUCACGGUGCUCAGCCAGUGCGACAGCCCCUACAUCACGCGCUACUUCGGCUCCUACCUGAAGGGCACGAAGCUGUGGAUCAUCAUGGAGUACCUGGGCGGCGGCUCUGCCUUGGACCUGCUUAAGCCGGGGCCCCUGGAGGAGACUUACAUCGCCACGAUCCUGCGGGAGAUCCUGAGGGGCCUGGAUUACCUGCACUCGGAGCGCAAGAUCCACCGAGACAUCAAAGCUGCCAAUGUGCUGCUCUCGGAGCAGGGCGACGUGAAGCUGGCGGACUUCGGCGUGGCGGGGCAGCUCACGGACACGCAAAUCAAGAGGAACACGUUUGUGGGCACCCCCUUCUGGAUGGCGCCCGAGGUCAUCAAGCAGUCGGCCUAUGACUUCAAGGCGGACAUCUGGUCGCUGGGGAUCACGGCCAUCGAGCUGGCCAAAGGCGAGCCCCCGAACUCUGACCUCCACCCCAUGCGCGUCCUGUUCCUGAUCCCCAAGAACAGCCCCCCCACGCUGGAGGGCCACCACAGCAAGCCCUUCAAGGAGUUCGUGGAGGCCUGCCUCAACAAGGACCCCCGAUUUCGGCCCACCGCCAAGGAGCUGCUGAAGCACAAGUUCAUCACGCGCUACACCAAGAAGACCUCCUUCCUCACCGAGCUCAUCGACCGCUACAAGCGCUGGAGGUCGGAGGGCCACGGCGAGGAGUCCAGCUCUGAGGACUCGGACAUCGACGCAGAUGCCGAGGAUGGAGAGCAGGGCCCCAUCUGGACCUUCCCCCCCACCAUCCGGCCGAGCCCGCACGGCAAGCUGCACAAGGGGACGGCCUUGCACGGCCCGCAGAAGUCGGCAGAGCCAGUCAAGAGGCAGCCGAGGUCCCAGUGCCUGUCCACGCUGGUCCGGCCUGUCUUCGGAGAGGUGAGGCCUGGGGGGCAGCGGUGUCCCCCACCGCGCUGGGCCACGGUGUCUAUGUCCCUUAGAGCCCAUGAGGGUGGACCCAGGGACCUGGCUUUCCGAGUGGAAGGACUGGAAGUGGCUGGGACAAGCUGGCCUGAUGGAACCCUCAAGUGUCCAAGCCUGCAGGGUCCUUGGGGCCCAGGGGGCUUUGUGAGGAACCCUUGUCCGGGGACCUUUUAUCUCGACCCGCAGACACACGGGUGACUCUGUCUAGAGAGCCCUGAGGUUUAGGUGGUGGUGGUGGGCAGCAGGCCCCCACCGGGGAGGCCUUAGGGGCAACUCCUCAGGGGUCUGGUGACCGUGUCUGUGUCAUCUGCUGACAGGUGGUUGGUACUGCCCCCAGGAGUGCACGUCAGCAGUGGGCGUGGGCCUCAUUUGCACCCGGGGAGACGGGGGCCUGGAGCCCAGGGUUGGGGUGCGGGAUGUGAGUGUGGAGGCAGCAGAGGCUUUCUGGGCUGGAGGGGUCAGAACACAGGCAGGCAGGCUCCCGCCCCCUGGGCCUGGAGUGCUGGCCGGAGCUGGGGACGCCUGUCAGGGGCCCAAGGGAGGCCCCACACAGGGCAGGGCCAGUACGCACGUGUACUGUGUGUGUACACGUUUGUGUACAUGUGCAGUGUGCGCACGCGUGUGUGCGUACGCUCGCGUGUGUACCCGUGCAUGUACUGGUUUUGCAGGGCCCUGUGGCCAGUGAGGUAGGGUGGUGGUGCCCACCUAGGCUGGCGGGGGGAGACCCUGGGUCUUAGUUCUGGGGGCUGGGGCCUGACGUCAGGCUGCUGGCGGGCGUCCUGGGAGGUGUGCACCCCUCUGCCCUUGGGGUUCCGGGCUUUGAGGGGAGGGCUGGUUGGCCACAGGGCAGGGGGUUGCUGGUGGUCCUCUGGCCCCAGGGGUCAGGCCAGCUGGGUCUGGCCAUGAUCUCUCACAAGCUGGACCUGAGCUAUGGGAGGAAGCCACAUGUUUAGAGUGGAGAGACCCUCCUGAGAACCAAAACCCGGGCAGGCCUGCGGCGCGGGGGCCACCUUUCCUGGGCGCCUGUCCCGCAGGUGGGUGGCAGGACCUGCUCAGCCCGGCUUUGCAGCGGGUGUGGGCGCCCUGCCGGUUGCAGUUCCACUCCCAGUCGGGGGGUGGGGGCCUGGAGGUCAGGCGCACACGGGUCUCUCCGCAGCUCAAAGAGAAGCACAGGCAGAACGGCGGCGGCGUGGGGGCGCUGGAGGAGCUGGAGAACGCCUUCAGCCUGGCCGAGGAGUCCUGCCCCGGCAUCUCGGACAAGCUGAUGGCCCACUUGGUGGAGCGCGUGCAGAGGUUCUCCCACAGCAGAAACCACCUGACGUCGACCCGCUGACGCUGCUGCUCUUGGCGCCGCCGGGGAGGGGUCUCUGUCCUGCGCGCCGCCAGGACUGUGCUGACUCGGAGCCCCGCUGCUGUCCUGGCCGGGUCCCACCCCCCUCCACCCCCGCAGAGGGCGGUCCCACUUCCACGUCCCUCCCGGUCGGACCAAGGCCAUGCUCGGCAGCGAGGAGGUGGCCGUGUGGCCGCCCAGACCGCGGGGCAGAGACCUCGCUGAGCAGGUGUGCCGCCGCCCAGCCGGGCCUGGCCUCAAAAGGCCGUAGAUUUGCCUUGUGUCAGACCAGGUACCGCGUUGUCUUCUAAGUACUCGUGUCAGAAUGUUUUGUUUUUUAAGAAAACCCGCCUUCCUUGCUUCCCUGGGCGUCCGAGGUGAAGGUGUUAGUUUUCACAGAACCGUGAGGGCUCCUGCUGCUUUCAAUAAAGACCUGAAUGACGACUGCUGCUA
This is a non-coding RNA of Sus scrofa (pig), 7160 nucleotides long. The record is from RefSeq and is a predicted model, not a curated record. NCBI's taxonomy places the organism in Eukaryota, Metazoa, Chordata, Mammalia, Artiodactyla, Suidae.